Molecule: ribosomal RNA, 442 nt
Filed under: uncultured bacterium
Lineage: Bacteria
Description: partial 16S ribosomal RNA
Rfam family: Bacterial small subunit ribosomal RNA
Source: RNAcentral
CCUACGGGAUGCAGCAGUGGGGAAUAUUGGGCAAUGGGCGAAAGCCUGACCCAGCAACGCCGCGUGAAGGAAGAAGGCUUUCGGGUUGUAAACUUCUUUUGACAGGGAAGAGCAGAAGACGGUACCUGUCGAAUAAGCCACGGCUAACUACGUGCCAGCAGCCGCGGUAAUACGUAGGUGGCAAGCGUUGUCCGGAUUUACUGGGUGUAAAGGGCGUGUAGCCGGGCUGACAAGUCAGAUGUGAAAUACGGGGGCUCAACCCCCGAACUGCAUUUGAAACUGUUGGUCUUGAGUAUCGGAGAGGCAGGCGGAAUUCCUGGUGUAGCGGUGAAAUGCGUAGAUAUUAGGAGGAACACCAGUGGCGAAGGCGGCCUGCUGGACGACAACUGACGGUGAGGCGCGAAAGCGUGGGGAGCAAACAGGAUUAGAUACCCUAGUAGUC